ACGGACUUCACUAAAAUGUUAUACUAUCACUUUGCCCACUUUUACACAGGUAUAACAUUUGGACUAAUGUAGUUACAUUAAAAUUAUAUAAUACCCAAUUCCCUUUCUUUUUAUUCUCUUUCUUUUAUUCUUAACUAAUAACCCCAAUUAAACCUUUAAUAUGCAAAAUUCUAUUAUUUAUUACCACGGUGUCCACUGACAUUUGAAUGAUUCUUCCCCUAAUAUUAGAUUCCUUCACUUUCUAAACAAUUCAACUCAUUCCUUAUUAAAUUCUUAAACACCAAUUAGGAUAUUUAUUAAAUCUCAAAUCUCAUUCUCUCUUUAAUUAUACCUCUAAACAUUCUUUUUAGCUCCGUUUUAAUCGCUCAAUAUAAUAAAUCUAAAAUAACUUCCCAUCUAUCCUAUUUAUCUCUCCUUUUAAUAUAAAACCAAAUUCUUUUAUAAAUUCAAAUUAUUAUAUAAUUUAUUUCCUUUUAUUAACCCAAUUAUCAUAAGUCAAUCAUUUCUCUCCCAUUAUUUUCUUUUUAAUUCACUCAAAUCCAUCCUUUUAUAUUUAAUUCCCACAUUUUAUCAAUUUUAUUUGUUCUUAUUAGCACUCUCACUUUUCAAUUUACCAAAAUAUCCCCAUCUUCCCCAAACUCACCUUUCUCCCUCAUCCCUCAUCCUACUCUUUUCUCUCUCUCUCUCUCUCUCUCCCCCCUCUUCCGCGUCUCCCUCGGUUCCUACCACUCAACGCCACCAUCGGUGACCUCUCUCCGUCGCCACACACACACGGCUCACCCAUCUCACCCACACAACACACACAAAACCCCCACCUCAAUCUCUCUUUUCCCCUGCUGUCUCUCUUCUUCACCAUUAGUCGGUUGCGGUUUUUUUUCGGUUUUUCCACUAUUAUUUACUACUCUUGUGCAUAAUGAUUUUUUUAAAAAAAAUAUAAAAUUUUCAUGAACAUGUACAAUAUGUUCGGUUACUAUUUACUAUUGUUUCUAUAUGAGGAUAUAGGAAACAUUACAUACUUUCAUCUAAAAAAUCUUAAUACACAAUAAAAACUAAAACAUACAUAUUUUGAUAAGAAAUUAGAUGAUGUCAAGUCAAUAAAAUUACCCAAAAUCAACUAAUUAUGAAAUUCAAAUAAAAAGUUUUCAAAAAGUACAUAAAUAAAAAAGUAGAAUAGGUUUCAUAAUAAAAUUUGAUCAGCAGAUUAACAGCAGAAAUAUUUCUGCUUUGUGGCAAAUCACAAUAGCCCUAAGUUUCAAUCAAGCGCUCCACCAAAUAUUUGAGUGCCUGGUUAUUUAAGUGACUUAGCAAGUAUGCAAGUACGGGUCUGUGGAAGAAGAACCUCUAUAUAAAAUUAGAUGUGAAGUUUAAAAAUGACUAAGGUGCUUUAUUACUAUUAUUGAUAUAUAUAUAAAUAUAUUUAUAUAUAUAUAUUUCGGUUCGGUUAAUUUCGGUGCGGUUUUAACAUAAAACCGAAAAUAAAACCGCACCACUAAUUUCGGUUUUUUAUCUCGGUUAUUUUCGGUUUUAUUUGCGGUUUGGUUUUUUUUGGUGUGGUUUUUCGGUUUUUUUAGGUUUUUUUGCGGUUUCGGUUUUUUCUGCUCGCCCCUACCUCAUCCUACUCUUUUCUCUCUCUCUCUCUCCCCCCUCUUCCGCGUCUCCCUCGGUUCCCACCACUCAACGCCACCAUCGGCGACCUUUCUCCGUCGCCACACACACACGGCUCACCCAUCUCACCCACACAACACACACAAAACCCCCACCUCAAUCUCUCUUUUCCCCUGCUGUCUCUCUUCUUCUCGACCUUCCCCUCCGUUUUAACAUCGCCGUUACCCUCCGUCGGCAUCGUCGACGUGAGCUCCGGCCAGCCACCCCACACACUUACUGCUCCGAUGCCAACCACAAUUCCAAUAAUCAACAACCAUUAAUUCAAUACACUUCAUAUAUAACCCCCAAAUUGAUUAAGAGCUCUAAUUUAAUAUAUGUAUAUUAGAAUAUAUGUGUCAAUGGAUAGUAAUCGCAGGUGGGGUUAAGAAAAUGUGCUAUUAAAAUGAAUUUAUAUCUCAUAAAUGGUUAAUUUAAGCUAAAAGGGAGAUUAAUACCUUAAAAUAGAUUUUGCAGAUUUGAUUCUCUUCUGGUCAAAUCGCCAAUACCUCCGUAUUGCUUUUGUUUUGAUAAAAGAAGUACUGACUAAUUUCCUUGCUAUUUAUACAACAUUACUAAUUACCAUUAGUAUUUAAUCAUACUUUAGCACUUGCUAAUACUCCACUAAUCAUUUUUAAUUUAUUUGUUUACUUGGAGGCUACACAAUUUUUCUUGGGCGUUACUCAGUAGCCUUAGGCUCCAAGUUUCGAAACUUGGGGCUCAAGUCCCGCUACGUUAAAAAUAUUCCACGGCUUGGCUCGUUUAUUCUCGUUUCGGUUUUUGUCCGACAAAUAUUUAAAUAUUUUACAAAAAGAAUAAAUAAAUCAA
Molecule: long non-coding RNA, 2469 nt
Filed under: Daucus carota (carrot)
Lineage: Eukaryota; Viridiplantae; Streptophyta; Magnoliopsida; Apiales; Apiaceae
Description: long non-coding RNA (DCAR_LNC006759)
Source: RNAcentral